Molecule: non-coding RNA, 170 nt
Filed under: bovine gut metagenome
Description: Lysine riboswitch
Rfam family: Lysine riboswitch aptamer
About the family: Riboswitches are metabolite binding domains within certain messenger RNAs that serve as precision sensors for their corresponding targets. Allosteric rearrangement of mRNA structure is mediated by ligand binding, and this results in modulation of gene expression.
Source: RNAcentral
UAUGGUAGAGGUUGCGCUGAUCAUAAGUAGCAGAUUGGAUGCCGCAGAGGCAGGAGAAGAUCUGUGGAAGGGAGAAGCGCCGAAAGGCAGUCACACUGCAAUGACUGUUCUUGGGAACGGAAGGAAUACUUCCGUAACUGUCAUCUUACAAGAGAUGGGGCGCUAUCCGA